CUACGGGACGCACCAGUGGGGAAUAUUGGACAAUGGGGGAAACCCUGAUCCAGCAAUGCCGCGUGUGUGAAGAAGGCCUGCGGGUUGUAAAGCACUUUCGGUUGGGAGGACUGCUUCUAGCACUAAUAUUGUUGGAAGUUGACGUUACCUUCAGAAGAAGCACCGGCUAACUCCGUGCCAGCAGCCGCGGUAAUACGGAGGGGUGCAAGCGUUAAUCGGAAUUACUGGGCGUAAAGCGCGCGUAGGCGGCUAGAUCAGUCGGGUGUGAAAGCCCCGGGCUUAACCUGGGAACUGCAUCCGAUACUGUCUAGCUUGAGUACAGGAGAGGAGAGUGGAAUUCCACAUGUAGCGGUGAAAUGCGUAGAUAUGUGGAGGAACACCAAUGGCGAAGGCAGCUCUCUGGCCUGAUACUGACGCUGAGGUGCGAAAGCGUGGGGAGCAAACAGGAUUAGAUACCCGAGUAGUC
This 466-nucleotide ribosomal RNA is filed under the name uncultured bacterium. RNAcentral's name for it is "partial 16S ribosomal RNA". It matches the Rfam family "Bacterial small subunit ribosomal RNA", at positions 339 to 795 of the family's 1533-position model. The record is from RNAcentral.